Molecule: ribosomal RNA, 230 nt
Filed under: uncultured Alicycliphilus sp.
Lineage: Bacteria; Pseudomonadati; Pseudomonadota; Betaproteobacteria; Burkholderiales; Comamonadaceae
Description: partial 16S ribosomal RNA
Rfam family: Bacterial small subunit ribosomal RNA
Source: RNAcentral
AGAGAUGCAUUGGGUUUAAAGGGUGCGCAGGCGGUUUUGUAAGACAGAGGUGAAAUCCCCGGGCUCAACCUGGGAACUGCCUUUGUGACUGCAAGGCUGGAGUGCGACAGAGGGGGAUGGAAUUCCGCGUGUAGCAGUGAAAUGCGUAGAUAUGCGGAGGAACACCGAUGGCGAAGGCAAUCCCCUGGGCCUGCACUGACGCUCAUGCACGAAAGCGUGGGGAGCAAACA